Molecule: ribosomal RNA, 463 nt
Filed under: uncultured bacterium
Lineage: Bacteria
Description: partial 16S ribosomal RNA
Rfam family: Bacterial small subunit ribosomal RNA
Source: RNAcentral
GACGAACGCUGGCGGCGUGCUUAACACAUGCGAGUCGAACGGAAAGGCCUUUUCGGAGGUACUCGAGUGGCGAACGGGUGAGUAACACGUGGGUGAUCUGCCCUGCACUCUGGGAUAAGCCUGGGAAACUGGGUCUAAUACCGGAUAGGACCGCACUUUAGUGUGUGUGGUGGAAAGUUUUUUCGGUGUAGGAUGAGCCCGCGGCCUAUCAGCUUGUUGGUGGGGUAAUGGCCUACCAAGGCGGCGACGGGUAGCCGGACUGAGAGGUUGGUCGGCCACAUUGGGACUGAGAUGCGGCCCAGACUCCUACGGGAGGCAGCAGUGGGGAAUAUUGCACAAUGGGCGCAAGCCUGAUGCAGCGACGCCGCGUGGGGGAUGACGGCCUUCGGGUUGGAAACUCCUUUCGCCAGGGACGAAGCGUUUUGUGACGGUACCUGGAGAAGAAGCACCGGCUAACUACGUG